This is a long non-coding RNA of Prunus dulcis (almond), 946 nucleotides long. RefSeq lists it as uncharacterized. The transcript has 2 exons. The record is from RefSeq and is a predicted model, not a curated record. Lineage: Eukaryota; Viridiplantae; Streptophyta; Magnoliopsida; Rosales; Rosaceae.
AGUCUCUCACGAGUCACAAGUACGCAAGCUAGCGAACUUUCUCAUCACACCAAAUGCAUGAACAGAACACAACAGAUUUGUGCAUCUAUAAAAGAAGCCAGGACCAGCCAAACAUUUACCCUUCUUAUAAAAUAACUCAAAAACCAAAACCCAAAACCAGGACCACUAGCUAAGGCACCAUAUGUAAAUAUAUAUAUAUAUAUAUAUAUAUAUAUAUAUGCACGUCAGUAUAUAUCACGUUUCCUCCAAACAAAGGGUGGGUUUUUGAAUCGCAAGCAGAUAUAUGAGAGAGCUGUUUCAUGAGAGAGUUUUGGAGUAUGCAUAUCUUAUAAACGAGUGCAGGUGGAGGCUUCCAAAGGGAUCGCAUUGAUCUAAUCAACCAAAUCAACAUGGUGAGUUUAGAUAUUUGAUAUUGGAUCGAUGCGAUCCCUUGGGAAGUUUCCGUCGUCAGCUCUAAAUCAUCAUGUUCAUGAAUCAUGUGGUUCGUUCAUCCAGGAUAGCAUUGGAGUUGGAGAGAAGGCUUUUCGCUUGAGAGAGAAAAGUAGAAGCCCAAACCAGUCCCACAAGAGCCCAAUAGUAGAAGCCCACACUCUCAUUUUUGGUCUAAAUCCGCUUCACUAACAGCCCAAUGGAGCCAAAGGAGAUACAAAAGACGUGGCCCUUGGCUCACGAAUCAAAAACAGUACAACAAAAGGGAAUCAGCUAAACUAAGCACAGUUUGAAAAAUUGGCCUACACCCAUGUCAAAACCCGAUUAGUUCGGCCCGGCCCAAUUAGAGGACAAGGUAGGCCAUCCGAGACCAACACACGAAUCAGAGACAGUGGUGGCCUGUCCGUAGUGGUGGUUCCAGGAUUCGAAAGCUUGCUGAGCAAAACUUAUAUACUAAACUCGACGAUACAAGUGGAUUUUGUUAAUAAACAUAUAAAGAUAUACAUAGUUAGAGGGA